AGUUAAUCCAUCAUGAUCAAGUAUGCUUCAUCCCCAGGAUGCAAGGUUGCCUCAACAUACACAUAUCAAUUAAUCUGAUUCAUCACAUAAACAAAACUAAAGAUAAAAACCAUGUGGUUAUCUCAAUAUAAGCAGAAAAGGCUUUCAAUAAAAUUCAAUGCCUCUCCAUAUUAAAAACUCUAAAAAAUCUGGGUAUUGAAGAAACAUAGCUCAAAAUGAUGAGCUGUUUUUGUAUCAGUAUCAUGCUGUUUUGGUUACUGUAGCCCUGUAGUAUGGUUUGAAGUUGGGUAACAUGAUGCCUCCAGCUUCGUUCUUUUUGCUGAGGAUUGCUUGGCUAUUAGGGCUCUUUUUUUUGGUUCCAUAUGAAUUUUGAAAUAGUUUGCUCUAGUUCUGUGAGGAAUGCCGUUGGUAAUUUAAUAGGGAUAACUUGCAUCUGUAAAUUACUUUGGGCAGUAUAGCCAUUUUAAUGACAUUAAUUCUUCCUAUCCAUGAGCAUGACAUGUUUUUCCAUUUGUUUGUGUCUUCUCUGAUUUCUUUGAGCAGUGUUUUGUAAUUCUUCUAGAGAUCUCCUAGAGAUCUUUCACCUCCCUGGUUAGCUGUAUUCCUAGGUAUCUUAUUUUUUCUGUGUGUAGCAAUUAUGAAUGGGAUUGUGUUCUUCAUUUGACUCUCUGCUUGACUUGAUGUAUAGGACUGCUAGUAAUUUUUGCACAUUGAUUUUGUAUGCUAAGACUUUGCUAAAGUUUAUCAGCAGAAGAAGCUUUGGGGCCAAGACUAUGGGGCUUUCUAGAUAUAGAAACAUGUCAUCUGUAAACAGAGACAGUUUGACUUCCUGUCUAUUCCUCUCUUCCCUCCUCUGUUUGGAUGCCCUUCCAGUUUUGCACAUUCAGUGUAAUGUUGGCUGUGGGUUUGUCAUGGCUAGCUCUCAUCAUUUUGGCACUUCUGACUAGAAGGGCAAGAGGGGCCAGUGUUGUUGUUACCUGAAAGGUGAUGGCAUCAGCUGAGAAGGGAAGGAAGCCCAUGAGAGGACACUGAAGAAGGAGUGAGCAGACAAUAAGAAGCCCACAGAAGACAGAGAAGGAACAACUAGAGGGAGAAGCCAAGUUUCUCCACAGACACUACCCAAAGCAGUGCUUCACUACAGUGGCAGACAGACCUGAAAAUUUUCAUCUGAAGCAGCAGAGUGAACUGCAGAGGCAGGUCACCAACCAGUGUGGAGGCUAAAAGCGGGCCUCUUUGGGGAUUCCAGGUGGAAGUGUUGGACAUCUGUAGUAUUCCUGGUCUCGAAUCAUCCUGAUAUUCUUCAUUUUGUUAUUCACAUUGGACUAGGAGAUAGAAUCUCACUAUGUUGACCAGGCUGGUCUUGAACUCUUGGCACCCAAGCGAUCCUUUUGCCUGGAAUCCCAAAGUGUCAGAUUUACUGAAGAAUAUUUCAUUGUAAUUACUUUUUAUACUUUAUAGGUCAAGAGCUCUGUUUUAAAUACAAAAUUUAUUGAAUAUACUUUUUCAAACAAA
This is a long non-coding RNA of Homo sapiens (human), 1512 nucleotides long. Ensembl annotates it as atherosclerotic plaque pathogenesis associated transcript. Its record names the gene APPAT. NCBI's taxonomy places the organism in Eukaryota, Metazoa, Chordata, Mammalia, Primates, Hominidae. The record is from Ensembl.